Molecule: long non-coding RNA, 670 nt
Filed under: Astyanax mexicanus (Mexican tetra)
Lineage: Eukaryota; Metazoa; Chordata; Actinopteri; Characiformes; Acestrorhamphidae
Description: lncRNA (ENSAMXG00005008830.1)
Source: RNAcentral
CUGGACGCCGCUGUACGUCCGGGAGACGGGCCGUCUGGGUCCCGGACUCCAGGAUUCGGCCCACGCAGACAGCUGAAGGCCUGCCCUGCUCCUUCCACAUCCACCUCCUCCCCCGAGACCACCACUUCUGCCAGCCCUCUCCCAUCCCGUGAUUGAUGAGAAGCCAUUUCCGCACUUCUCCCGCUCAGACAGAGCCGCUGCCGAGGAGAACGCUUUUCUUCAUACCAUCAAAUGAAGCAUCGCUGCACAGGGGGUUACACCAGGCCCACGGCGGCCUGGACCAAAGCCCAUCAAAGAGCCUGGUGUGGAUCUUGCUGUGUGUAGAAGGCAGGGUUGGAGCCAAACCCCAGGGCUACUGGACGGGACCAUCGUGGUGGCGGUGGAAGCAGGAACACAGGCGCUGUUUCCAGUUUGGUCCUGCCGGCUACCUGGGGAUUGGCUUCACCCCUGCCUCCUAUGUACAGGGGAUCUGCCAGGGUCUAGAUGUUCCAGAUCUGGACCGACUAUGGGGGCCAACACCAAAGACUAACCAUUAAAAUAUGUCAUUUUUGCACGCUUGCCUCUGGAGUCUUUCUGGUAGAACUAAUAUCAUCUUAGAUUAAAUCUUCACAGCAAUUUUCCAAAAUGUGGUAGAAAGCCCUCAAAAAAAGGAAGAGAGAAGCUGUUAAUG